Molecule: small nucleolar RNA, 128 nt
Organism: Grammomys surdaster
Lineage: Eukaryota; Metazoa; Chordata; Mammalia; Rodentia; Muridae
Product: small nucleolar RNA SNORA17
Exons: 1
Source: RefSeq, a predicted model, not a curated record
GCUGUCAAAUGUUUGUGAGUUGGUGGCAGAGAGGAAAGAGGCUAUGUCUAUUGGCAGAGAGGAAAGAGGCUAUGUCUAUUCUCAGUGUUCAGGCUUAUAGACAUCUGAAUGAUUAGUCACCUAACAGU